AAAGCUCUGUUGUUGGUGAAGAAGGACAGGGGUAGUAACUGACCUUUGUUUGACGGUAAUCAAUUAGAAAGUCACGGCUAACUACGUGCCAGCAGCCGCGGUAAUACGUAGGUGGCAAGCGUUGUCCGGAUUUAUUGGGCGUAAAGCGAGUGCAGGCGGCUCGAUAAGUCUGAUGUGAAAGCCUUCGGCUCAACCGGAGAAUUGCAUCAGAAACUGUCGAGCUUGAGUACAGAAGAGGAGAGUGGAACUCCAUGUGUAGCGGUGAAAUGCGUAGAUAUAUGGAAGAACACCGGUGGCGAAGGC
RNAcentral lists this ribosomal RNA (303 nucleotides) under Vibrio cholerae. Its description in RNAcentral is "bacterial SSU rRNA". It matches the Rfam family "Bacterial small subunit ribosomal RNA", at positions 427 to 722 of the family's 1533-position model. The record is from RNAcentral. Lineage: Bacteria; Pseudomonadati; Pseudomonadota; Gammaproteobacteria; Vibrionales; Vibrionaceae.